CAAACUGAAGACAACAACAGUGACGAGAGUGAAACAGUGACAGCUAAUCUGACAGUAGUAGUGCUGACCACAGUAGUGUCUCUGUGUGUCCUCAUAUCACUGAUCGUCUGUGUCAUUCUUUAUUUCCAAAAACAAAGGCCCAUAAUUGACAGCCAAAUUGAUUUGAACUGCCAGUCUUCAGUGAAUUAUUCUGACAUUUCUGGAGUGGUGGAUGUCCCGUUGUAUUCUUCAGUCAAACGUCAAACAAACCAUGGUCACCUCUGGUGUGAACAAACAGAAGCUCCUGCAUGUAAUCCAGACAACAUCUAUGAUAAUAGAAUGCUG
Onychostoma macrolepis is the source of this 324-nucleotide long non-coding RNA. RefSeq lists it as uncharacterized. Lineage: Eukaryota; Metazoa; Chordata; Actinopteri; Cypriniformes; Cyprinidae. The record is from RefSeq and is a predicted model, not a curated record. The transcript has 4 exons.